This is a non-coding RNA of Pelobates cultripes (western spadefoot toad), 483 nucleotides long. The record is from the annotation of a GenBank genome assembly. NCBI's taxonomy places the organism in Eukaryota, Metazoa, Chordata, Amphibia, Anura, Pelobatidae.
GUAGGACAUGGUCUAAUGCAAAAAGGUGUCUUAAAUGUACAUAAAUCAAUAUCUGUCCAUCUGUCCAUCUGUCUCUAUCUAUCUAUCUUUCUAUGACAUGUGCGUUAUGUUUGGGUCCAUUUAAAUGCAUAGAAACCUCCCCUUACCAGUACAUAGAAAUAACAGCUUUGCAGUUUUCUGAGCUGUUUUGAUAGAGGAAAUUACACAGGCAACAAAUCUUACAUCUCAAAUGCAACAGAGCUCCAACAGAAGAAAUGGAAAUGCCUCUACAUUCCUAUGGAAUGGAAUGGAUUUAUAUACUUUUUUAUAUUGCAUUUUCAUUGUUGGUUGUUGUGUGAUUUGCUUGGCGACUAGACUUGUGUAAAGAAAAAUUUGCUUUGGAUGAAUCACUUCUAGAAAUAAUAUUUCUGUCAUAUUUCAAUUUGUGAUAACAAAAAGGGUCAGUCAUUGAACUGCAAAAUAUAUAGGUUAUAUAAAUAUUAU